This 686-nucleotide ribosomal RNA is filed under the name uncultured bacterium. Its description in RNAcentral is "bacterial SSU rRNA". It matches the Rfam family "Bacterial small subunit ribosomal RNA", at positions 194 to 860 of the family's 1533-position model. The record is from RNAcentral.
CUACGGGGGAAAGCAGGGGAUCUUCGGACCUUGCGCUAAUAGAUGAGCCUAAGUCAGAUUAGCUAGUUGGUGGGGUAAAGGCCUACCAAGGCGACGAUCUGUAGCGGGUCUGAGAGGAUGAUCCGCCACACUGGGACUGAGACACGGCCCAGACUCCUACGGGAGGCAGCAGUGGGGAAUAUUGGACAAUGGGCGAAAGCCUGAUCCAGCCAUGCCGCGUGUGUGAAGAAGGCCUUUUGGUUGUAAAGCACUUUAAGCGAGGAGGAGGCUACUUGGAUUAAUACUCUAGGAUAGUGGACGUUACUCGCAGAAUAAGCACCGGCUAACUCUGUGCCAGCAGCCGCGGUAAUACAGAGGGUGCGAGCGUUAAUCGGAUUUACUGGGCGUAAAGCGUGCGUAGGCGGCUUUUUAAGUCGGAUGUGAAAUCCCUGAGCUUAACUUAGGAAUUGCAUUCGAUACUGGGAAGCUAGAGUAUGGGAGAGGAUGGUAGAAUUCCAGGUGUAGCGGUGAAAUGCGUAGAGAUCUGGAGGAAUACCGAUGGCGAAGGCAGCCAUCUGGCCUAAUACUGACGCUGAGGUACGAAAGCAUGGGGAGCAAACAGGAUUAGAUACCCUGGUAGUCCAUGCCGUAAACGAUGUCUACUAGCCGUUGGGGCCUUUGAGGCUUUAGUGGCGCAGCUAACGCGA